UACGUAGGGGGCUAGCGUUGUCCGGAUUUAUUGGGCGUAAAGAGCGUGUAGGCGGCUUGGUAGGUCCGCUGUGAAAACUCGAGGCUCAACCUCGAGAUGUCGGCGGAAUCCACUUGGCUAGAGUCCGGAAGAGGAGACUGGAAUUCCUGGUGUAGCGGUGAAAUGCGCAGAUAUCAGGAGGAACACCGGUGGCGAAGGCGGGUCUCUGGGCCGAAAUUGACGCUGAGGAGCGAAAGCGUGGGGAGCAAACAGG
This 253-nucleotide ribosomal RNA is filed under the name uncultured bacterium. RNAcentral's name for it is "partial 16S ribosomal RNA". It matches the Rfam family "Bacterial small subunit ribosomal RNA", at positions 524 to 776 of the family's 1533-position model. The record is from RNAcentral.